GACGAACGCUGGCGGCGUGCUUAAUACAUGCAAGUCAACUGAACUUGAGAUAGCAAUAUUUUAAGGGAGGUGGCGCACGGGUGAGUAACACGUAGGUAAUCUGCCUUUAGGUCUGACAUAAUUCCGCGAAAGCGGGACUAACUUCAGAUGAUGCAGCGGCUCGACAUCGAGACAGUUGUUAAAUCUUCGGAGCCUAAAGAUGAGCCUGCGUCUGAUUAGGUAGUUGGCGGAGUAAAAGCCCACCAAGCCUGCGAUCAGUAGCUGGUCUGAGAGGAUGAUCAGCCACACUGGAACUGAGACACGGUCCAGACUCCUACGGGAGGCAGCAGUAAGGAAUAUUGCUCAAUGGCCGAAAGGCUGAAGCAGCAACGCCGCGUGGAGGAUGAAAUACUUUUGUAUGUAAACUCCUGUAAGAAGGGAAAAUAUUUCGAUUUAUCGGAAUUGAUUGUACCUUCAGAGUAAGCACCGGCUAACU
RNAcentral lists this ribosomal RNA (475 nucleotides) under uncultured bacterium. RNAcentral's name for it is "bacterial SSU rRNA". It matches the Rfam family "Bacterial small subunit ribosomal RNA", at positions 28 to 502 of the family's 1533-position model. The record is from RNAcentral.